This 73-nucleotide transfer RNA is filed under the name Candidatus Giovannonibacteria bacterium. RNAcentral describes it as "tRNA-Lys". It matches the Rfam family "tRNA". Rfam says of the family: Transfer RNA (tRNA) molecules are approximately 80 nucleotides in length. Their secondary structure includes four short double-helical elements and three loops (D, anti-codon, and T loops). Lineage: Bacteria; Candidatus Giovannoniibacteriota. The record is from RNAcentral.
CCCCCGUUAGCUCAGCUGGUAGAGCAGCUCCCUUUUAAGGAGAAGGUCGGAGGUUCGAUUCCUCCACGGGGGA